RNAcentral lists this long non-coding RNA (227 nucleotides) under Sus scrofa (pig). Its description in RNAcentral is "lncRNA (ENSSSCG00070010061.1)". The record is from RNAcentral. Lineage: Eukaryota; Metazoa; Chordata; Mammalia; Artiodactyla; Suidae.
CAUUUAUUUAUAGAAAGACCUCUCUUGACUGAUGCUGGAAGUUACGGAGCUGCUGAAGCUUAGGUAGAUAAUACCGUAGUUAAAGAAACCACGAACUCUAAUAAACACCAAUCAAGUCACGUAUUUUCUAUGGCACAACUAGAAGGUGCUAUAAUAAAGAUAAUGCAAGAAUAGUGAAUACAAUGAAGAAAAUCUUGUCAUUCCUACUUGAGAGUGAGCAGGUGAAA